GGUCGGUCGGUCCGGUUCGGAUUCGGAUUUCGCUGGACGGAAGAGAGAGUGAUUCACGUGGUGUAAGAGUUCUAUGGGCGCGAUUUGUGGUGUUUGUGGUGUUGCCUACCUUGCAGGCGCUUUCCAUCUCGGUGGGCCGCCGAUAAUUAUCGGUUUCGUUUGUCGUCCCGUCGUCUGUGCGCUGGCCUAUAGAGAUAUGGUUGGAAGUUAAAAAAAGUUUUGAUAGCGUGUUUUAGGGCAAAGCACUGCCCGGUCUAUUAACCUGUGAUUAUGAGCCACAUAGGGGCUUGUUCGACAAAGAAAAGGAUUGUCUAAGCAGUAAUAGUCAAGGGACAAGUUUUCUAGUGAAUGUGGUCGUAUGAACAACGGUGUUCGCUCGGUGGUGUGGCAAUGGGUUUCGAUCGAUGAUAAGUGAUAUUUGAUGUCCGUUGAUAACAAAGGAUAACGUGGUUCAACGGGGCUAUAUAGCGGUGGCUACCUGUGCACGCUACGAAAAAUAUUGAAGAAAUUUCCAUAGUGAACAGAACGAACCAAUCUGCAUCUUAAACACUGCAGCCAUUCUUUUUUGUUGAUUGCUGAUUACGAUCAUCAAUGCGGUGGUAUGUCUCCAACUGUUCCGAAUAAUCGAAUCAACCAAAUGAAGUCAAAUGCCCCACAAAAACUUCUGCUGUGCUUAGCCUUGAAAAGCCUUGAAGGUGAAGUGAGUGCUGUAUGAAAAAUUGUGAGUUUCCUACCGCCCAACGACGGUUAAGGUGAUUACAAUAGUUUGUCAACCUGCUGCAGAGGCGUCGUCAUAUUCCGGCAAGUGACGAUAAAGAAGCCAAAUAAUACACCUUCAUGGAAAAGUAACGACUGAACGGAUUAGUUUUGGGAUUUAUAAGCAUUGUUGUUGUCGUGAAUGCCAAAGUACAAG
Aedes aegypti (yellow fever mosquito) is the source of this 913-nucleotide long non-coding RNA. RefSeq lists it as uncharacterized. NCBI's taxonomy places the organism in Eukaryota, Metazoa, Arthropoda, Insecta, Diptera, Culicidae. The record is from RefSeq and is a predicted model, not a curated record. The transcript has 2 exons.